GAUGAAGGAACGCAGCGAAAUGCGAUAAGUAAUGUGAAUUGCAGAAUUCAGUGAAUCAUCGAAUCUUUGAACGCACAUUGCGCCCGCCAGUAUUCUGGCGGGCAUGCCUGUCUGAGCGUCAUUUCAACCCUCAUGCCCCUAGGGCGUGGUGUUGGGGAUCGGCCAAAGCCCGCGAGGGACGGCCGGCCCCUAAAUCUAGUGGCGGACCCGUCGUGGCCUCCUCUGCGAAGUAGUGAUAUUCCGCAUCGGAGAGCGAUGAGCCCCUGCCGUUAAACCCCCAACUUUCCAAGGUUGACCUCAGAUCAGGUAGGAAUACCCGCUGAACUUAAGCAUAUCAAUAGCGGAGGA
RNAcentral lists this unclassified non-coding RNA (348 nucleotides) under soil metagenome. RNAcentral describes it as "partial contains 5.8S ribosomal RNA, internal transcribed spacer 2, and large subunit ribosomal RNA". The stretch from base 1 to 121 matches the Rfam family "5.8S ribosomal RNA", at positions 35 to 154 of the family's 154-position model. The record is from RNAcentral.